RNAcentral lists this ribosomal RNA (201 nucleotides) under uncultured bacterium. Its description in RNAcentral is "partial 16S ribosomal RNA". It matches the Rfam family "Bacterial small subunit ribosomal RNA", at positions 328 to 539 of the family's 1533-position model. The record is from RNAcentral.
ACGCUCGACACCUACGGGAGGUAGCAGUGGGGAAUAUUGGGCAAUGGGCGAAAGCCUGACCCAGCAACGCCGCGUGAGGGAAGAAGGUUUUCGGAUUGUAAACCUCUGUCCUCAGGGACGAAGGACGUGACGGUACCUGAGGAGGAAGCCCCGGCUAACUACGUGCAAGCAGCCGCGGUAAUCUGAGCGGGCUGGCAAGGC